UAUAUCCGCUUCGGACGUGUGCGUUUCUCUCUGGACGCGAAAUGGGCGCUCAGGCUGCAUCAUCUCGCCACGCCCCUGGAGGUGGCGCCCUCGUCCGAGCCCCAGAGCACCCCAGUGUCGUCCGCGGCCAUGUUCUGCGGCGUCACCGGAGCCGGUCAGGUUCACCGUUGACCGCCCCUUCAUGUUCCUGGUCAUGAACAAGGACCCCGACGCGGUGCUGGUCCUUGGCUCCGUCAAGCGGGUCUCCUCAAGGAAGGCCAAGGCGCAGUCCACUAAUUGACAGCAGCCGAGCGUCAACGCCAUCACUAACGCUCGGAUAGCGCCCGAGCGCCUCCUCGUGUCACCAAUCCAGGCUUGACGUGAAAUAAUAGACACACUAUCCAACGUUGUCUUUUUGUUUAUUUA
This is a non-coding RNA of Dermacentor albipictus, 405 nucleotides long. The record is from RefSeq and is a predicted model, not a curated record. NCBI's taxonomy places the organism in Eukaryota, Metazoa, Arthropoda, Arachnida, Ixodida, Ixodidae.